AUAUUUGUCGGACUACAUUCUUAAACUGGUCCGCAGCGUUCAGCCACCAUGUACAUCUUGAGGUCCGGAAAACCAAUUGCAGAGCUGAUUGAACGGCGGCCUGUACACUUUGCGCAGAGCUGUUCAAAGUCAGCUCGUUUCUAUCACGCGUCACUACACUCGUUGCAGAGCAAGAAAUCAAAACUCCCCCAACUCAUGGUCAAAAUGCCUGACGGCACUGAAAGGCCUAGGCAGACAGCCAUUUUCAAGCGGAUGCAAAUGGAGCGCUGGCGAGCUCAAAACGCUGCUGUAAAUGCAGCCGCUAAGGCCGCUGGGUUCAAGCAUGAUUGGAUCUACAAAAUGUCUGUCAUAGUGACUCGUCCGACAAUAGUCUUGCCUGAACCCGAACCAUGGGAAGCCGAAUAUGCCGAAUGGAGGGAAAAAUGGUAUGCGCCCAUAUAUGCGCAAAUUCCUGAUAUCUCGCCCCUGCUUGAAGACGAGUCGACACAUGGACCGAAUUUGACGAUGCCAAAAAACCGGCAGGGCCAAGGACAGUCUAUCAGCUUUCAACAGCAAUCGCAAGAGAGGUCAGAAGAAGUCAGAAGUCGUCUGACGGCGGCCGACCUGGCCAAUGACACGACCUCGUUAAGGAGAAAACUUGACCAAAAGCUCUAUUUCAUUGUCAAGAAAAAUCGUUCAGAGCAUCCGUGGCAAUUUCCUCAAUUUGCUUUCCCAGUCGAUCACAGUGAUCAAUCCCCCCCUUUGAGCGAAACCGCAAGCGCGGGUGCCUCAAAGGCUAUUGGAUCCACUGUAGAAGUUUACAUGACCGGUAAUUCUCCAUGUGGUUUCUAUACCUAUCCUAUCUCUCCUGAACUUCAGGUCAAGAACAAUGCCUAUGGUAUCAAAGUUUUUUUCUACAGAGGAUACUAUAUUAAAGGAACAGUCGAAAGAGAUUCGCGCUAUGUAGAUCACGCAUGGAUAACUGUACAAGAACUCUCCAAUUACUUCGAGGACAAAGUGCUGUGUAACUAUCUGAAAAAUAUUCUCAUUUGACAUCACCACGGCGACGCUCGUGUUCUACAACUUUAAGAAGCGGCUUUUUGGAUUUUCAGCCUAUUAUGGAUAAAUGCAUUUUGGACAUCAAAAAAGAUGAGCCGCAGAUAUUGCGCACUUCAGUUGAUAAGAAUGCGUAUAUUCAUUCAUUGCUAGUGCCUGGCAUAGUAAUACAAACCCGCCCUCUCAGCUCACAUUAUCCAGUCGGCGCCAGCCACAUUUUUGUGACAUUGAAAAGGCAGGCUUAAGCACACCGUCCUGCCAACAGAUUUACGGGCUACGAAUUAAACGAAAUAUUUUUUAG
Schistocerca gregaria is the source of this 1336-nucleotide long non-coding RNA. RefSeq lists it as uncharacterized. NCBI's taxonomy places the organism in Eukaryota, Metazoa, Arthropoda, Insecta, Orthoptera, Acrididae. The transcript has 3 exons. The record is from RefSeq and is a predicted model, not a curated record.